GAGUUUGAUCAUGGCUCAGAUUGAACGCUGGCGGCAUGCCUUACACAUGCAAGUCGAACGGCAGCACGGGUGCUUGCACCUGGUGGCGAGUGGCGAACGGGUGAGUAAUAUAUCGGAACGUGCCCAAUCGUGGGGGAUAACGCAGCGAAAGCUGUGCUAAUACCGCAUACGAUCUACGGAUGAAAGCGGGGGAUCGCAAGACCUCGCGCGAAUGGAGCGGCCGAUAUCAGAUUAGCUAGUUGGUGGGGUAAAAGCCCACCAAGGCGACGAUCUGUAGCUGGUCUGAGAGGACGACCAGCCACACUGGAACUGAGACACGGCCCAGACUCCUACGGGAGGCAGCAGUGGGGAAUUUUGGACAAUGGGCGCAAGCCUGAUCCAGCAAUGCCGCGUGCAGGAUGAAGGCCUUCGGGUUGUAAACUGCCUUUUGUACGGAACGAAA
RNAcentral lists this ribosomal RNA (442 nucleotides) under uncultured bacterium. RNAcentral describes it as "bacterial SSU rRNA". It matches the Rfam family "Bacterial small subunit ribosomal RNA", at positions 9 to 451 of the family's 1533-position model. The record is from RNAcentral.